AAGAUGAUGGCAAAAAUGGGAUUUUUAGAAGGUGGAGGUCUGGGAAAGGCUGGUCAAGGUAUGGCAGAGCCUAUUGAAGUGAUCCAAAGGCCCAAAUCACUAGGUUUGGGUGCCAACUUCCCCAACACUACUGAUGACUCUUUGGAGAAUAAACCUCAAAGAACUGCAAGGUUUGAAAACCAUGCUAAACAUAAAAGCUUGGGAACUUUUGAAAAACAUACCAAAGGUUUUGGCUCUAAGAUGAUGGCAAGGAUGGGCUUU
This 261-nucleotide unclassified non-coding RNA is filed under the name Hevea brasiliensis (rubber tree). The record is from RNAcentral. Lineage: Eukaryota; Viridiplantae; Streptophyta; Magnoliopsida; Malpighiales; Euphorbiaceae.